CAGCCAUAUGACGUUGAAACACCGAUUCUUAUACGAUCAGCAGAGUUAAGCAACAUCAAGCCUGAUCACUACCGAGAUGAGUGACCGCUUGUGAAUACCAGGUGCUGUAA
Non-coding RNA from Acanthosepion pharaonis, 110 nucleotides. Lineage: Eukaryota; Metazoa; Mollusca; Cephalopoda; Sepiida; Sepiidae. The record is from the annotation of a GenBank genome assembly.